GCAAGUCGAACGGUACAGGUCUUCGGAUGCUGACGAGUGGCGAACGGGUGAGUAAUACAUCGGAACGUGCCCGAUCGUGGGGGAUAACGGAGCGAAAGCUUUGCUAAUACCGCAUACGAUCUACGGAUGAAAGCAGGGGACCGCAAGGCCUUGCGCGGACGGAGCGGCCGAUGGCAGAUUAGGUAGUUGGUGGGAUAAAAGCUUACCAAGCCGACGAUCUGUAGCUGGUCUGAGAGGACGACCAGCCACACUGGGACUGAGACACGGCCCAGACUCCUACGGGAGGCAGCAGUGGGGAAUUUUGGACAAUGGGCGAAAGCCUGAUCCAGCCAUGCCGCGUGCAGGAUGAAGGCCUUUGGGUUGUAAACUGCUUUUGUACGGAACGAAAAGACUCCUUCUAAUAAAGGGGGUCCAUGACGGUACCGUAAGAAUAAGCACCGGCUAACUACGUGCCAGCAGCCGCGGUAAUACGUAGGGUGCAAGCGUUAAUCGGAAUUACUGGGCGUAAAGCGUGCGCAGGCGGUUAUAUAAGACAGAUGUGAAAUCCCCGGGCUCAACCUGGGAACUGCAUUUGUGACUGUAUAGCUAGAGUACGGUAGAGGGGGAUGGAAUUCCGCGUGUAGCAGUGAAAUGCGU
RNAcentral lists this ribosomal RNA (636 nucleotides) under uncultured bacterium. RNAcentral describes it as "bacterial SSU rRNA". It matches the Rfam family "Bacterial small subunit ribosomal RNA", at positions 57 to 691 of the family's 1533-position model. The record is from RNAcentral.